Long non-coding RNA from Cyprinus carpio (common carp), 1083 nucleotides. The record is from Ensembl. Lineage: Eukaryota; Metazoa; Chordata; Actinopteri; Cypriniformes; Cyprinidae.
UAACUCUUCUUCAUCUUGAUAAGGCAGCUGCAUACAAGGGGGAAGAAAACGAUGAGAGUGAAAACUGAUCCGCAAACAGCAGCUGAUGAGCGGGCUGUUGUCAUGGUGACCGGGGAGGAUGUGGAGGGAAGCGUGAGGGGCACACGAUGACAAAUGAGGUUAGAGCCAACUGUUUGCACAUACACACACACCUUUAGUUGAUUUCAUCUGUGAAACUGUAAUGCGAUUCAAAUGUAAAGAUGUCAGAGGGCAGGUGAAAACAAAAUAGAUUCCCAAUUUUAAGUGGUCUUUUUUUCCCCCACACAGAGUGAACGUACAAAUGCACAGCGGCAAAGGCUCGCACACACACACUCACACAGCUUGAAGCCUUUGAUGACAGACCUGAGAAUCAAACGAACAUCUGGAGUUAUAUGUAUGACUUCAAACGUACUGUACAUCAAACAUAGUUUUGUGUGUAAAAACACUCCUUAAAAUCCUUAAAAAAGAAUUCUUUGCCAGUCUGAUGAUGUCAUAAACACACAGCAAUCCUUAAAAUUUCAAAGUGAAAUACAUCUGUGGAGAUAACGGAUUGAAAACAGCAGUGACUGCUUUGCUUUCUUUGGGAAAACACACUUUUAUCAAGAAAACAGACUGCCAUGUUUGUUGCUGCCCUCCCUUGCAAGAGUUUGAGGGAGAUAUGUGAUUACCUCACACGGCCUUUAACCGACAGAAAUGUCAGCGGUGAAUGCAUGCAGAACCUUGAUCAAUAUGCCCGAUUGGAAUUGGAAUUAAUCACUGGCAUGGGUACAAUUAUAGAAGGGAAGCCAUAAUUAUCUCACAGUAUCUCAAUACGACAGUCAGAGGAGAUCAGUGAAGCAUGAAAGACUGCUCUCUAACAGAUUAUUUACUGAUCUCUUAUGAUUAAAAGUGAUGGAGAGGGAUUCGUCCCCGAGCAACUUCCUUCUCCUUAUUUUACCUCUGCAUAUCAUCCUCUGACAUUCUACCCAUAAUGUUCAGUGGAAGGCGAAGUGUGAAAUAUCACCAAAUUCCAAAAAAAAAAGAUAAUUAAAUAAACUAUAUAAAUAACUUUAAAAAAUAAUAAUU